RNAcentral lists this ribosomal RNA (253 nucleotides) under uncultured bacterium. RNAcentral describes it as "partial 16S ribosomal RNA". It matches the Rfam family "Bacterial small subunit ribosomal RNA", at positions 524 to 776 of the family's 1533-position model. The record is from RNAcentral.
GACGUAGGGUGCGAGCGUUGUCCGGAUUUAUUGGGCGUAAAGAGCUCGUAGGCGGCUCGUCGCGUCGACCGUGAAAACCCGCGGCUUAACUGCGGGCUUGCGGUUGAUACGGGCGGGCUAGAGUUCGGUAGGGGAGACUGGAAUUCCUGGUGUAGCGGUGAAAUGCGCAGAUAUCAGGAGGAACACCGGUGGCGAAGGCGGAUCUCUGGGCCUUACCUGACGCUGAGGAGCGAAAGCAUGGGGAGCAAACAGG